UGAAGAUACGACACUCCAAAUCCUAUGGGAUGAAGCAAAAGCUGUUCUAAGUGGAAAGUUUAUAGCAAUACAUGCCCACUUCAGGAGAUACCCUAGAAUUUAAACAUACCUGCUUGACUUAGGAAAAUGCAAUACAAUCUUGCAGGUGAAGUUGGUUUCCCAGGAGGCAGGGUCUGAGAGGAAGAGUAGUGUUCAGGAAGUCUUUUGAGGGGAGUUGCUCUUGGGCUUAUCACCAGUGGAAAGGAAGUAAAGGAAGCAAGGUUGGCAGGGAGAGAAUUUACAAUUACAGUGAAGGCCACCCAAGGGGACCUCUGAAGCUGGAUGGCUCUUCAGAGUUGGUGAUACCUUCACUUCUGGCAUGUACAAGAAGAAAAUGUCUUUCCAGGAAGGCCUGCUGAGGCUCUUUAUGCUUACAUUGAGCCAUUCGAAGAGCAAGACUCUGAACUCUCCUGGCUACACACAGAGGCACAUUGGAAACACAAUAGAAAACGGCUGCCAAUUUAAAAGCAGAAGUUAAGAAGAGCAAACCCAAACAUACGGCAAGAGAGCUUCAAGCUGGACCAGCUCCCAGAAGAAGUGAGCCCUAAAGUCUUGGAUUCUGUUGCAUCUCCUCUCCUCUGUGAAGUGGCAGAAGAUGUCGGCACCUGGGCUUGAACUUGGUCAUUACUGCUUAUUUCCCAGCAUUUUCCAAGCAUCCUAGCUCCUUGGAGUUGUAGUUUUAUCAUCUGUGAAUUGGGAAAUGAAGGUUCUUUACGCUGAGGUCUGAAUGAGACGUGUACAGAAGCACCAAGCAUGGUUCCCGGCGUAUAGUGUUUGUUCAAUGAAUAUGAACUAGCGUGACUAGGACCCCUGCUUGCUUCUUGCCCCUUCUGGUGACUAGUCGUGUGCUCUGGGCUCCCUGAGACAGGGCAAUUUUCCCCAAGUGGGCAUUAAAGCCAUGUCUGUCUGUAUAGUCUUGUUCCUUAGGUUUUUUUUGUGCCACCUGCUCCCU
Molecule: non-coding RNA, 991 nt
Organism: Sus scrofa (pig)
Lineage: Eukaryota; Metazoa; Chordata; Mammalia; Artiodactyla; Suidae
Source: RefSeq, a predicted model, not a curated record